RNAcentral lists this unclassified non-coding RNA (357 nucleotides) under Hevea brasiliensis (rubber tree). The record is from RNAcentral. Lineage: Eukaryota; Viridiplantae; Streptophyta; Magnoliopsida; Malpighiales; Euphorbiaceae.
AGGAGGAGAUUGAUGAAGAUUAUAAAGGGGAAAAAGAUAUGGGUGAGAGUAGCAGUUCGAUGUCAGCUUACCGUAGACAGCAAUUUCAAAACCAGCAUCAAGAUUUGAAUGUUAACAGUAGCAGACCCAACAAUGGGUAUUUUGAGUGAAAGGAUUUAUUACUUGGUAGCUAUUAGGGUAUGUACGUAGGGACAUGAGAAUUGAUUUCUAACUUGGUAAGCCUUUUAGUUUCAGUUUCACUUUAUGUUUCAACUAAGGUUUUAGGUAUCUUUGGCUGUGGAACCUAUGGUAGCUCGCCCGCAGAUUUCUCUAGAUUCCUAGUAUAUAUUAUAUGACAUAUUACCCCCACUUGCACAA